UAUUGGCUUAGUUAGGGGGCAGAGAUGAAAUUGGGAUCCGAUUUUCUAUCUGAUCCCUAAUUCUAAGGCCUUUUGAGGGGACUCUUGAUUUGCUCUAUGAAUUGUCCCCCAAGCAUACCUUGGACAUUU
Molecule: small nucleolar RNA, 129 nt
Organism: Cornus florida
Lineage: Eukaryota; Viridiplantae; Streptophyta; Magnoliopsida; Cornales; Cornaceae
Product: small nucleolar RNA U19
Exons: 1
Source: RefSeq, a predicted model, not a curated record